Molecule: ribosomal RNA, 497 nt
Filed under: uncultured bacterium
Lineage: Bacteria
Description: partial 16S ribosomal RNA
Rfam family: Bacterial small subunit ribosomal RNA
Source: RNAcentral
GAUGAACGCUGGCGGCGUGCCUAAUACAUGCAAGUCGAGCGAACGGACGAGAAUCUUUCUUCUCUGAGGUUAGCGGCGGACGGGUGAGUCACACGGGGAUAACAUACCUAUAUGACUGGGAUAACUUAGGGAAACCGGAGCUAAUACCGGAUAAUAUUUUGAACCACAUGGAUCAAAAGUCAAAGACCGUCUUGCUGUCCCUCAUAGAUAGAACAUCGCUGCAUUAGUUAGUAGGUAAGGUAACGGCUUACGAAGGCAACGAUGCAUAGCCGAUAUGAGAGGGUGAGCGGGUACACGGGAACUGAGACACGGCCCAGACUCUUACGGGAGGCAGCAGUAGGGAAUCUUCCGCAAUGGGGGAAAGCCUGAUGGAGCAACGUCGCGUGAGUGAUGAAGGUCUUCGGAUCGUAAAGCUCUGUAAUUAGGGAGGAAGAUAUGUGUAAGUAACUGUGAACAUCUUGACGGUACCUAAUCAGAAAGCCACGGCUAACUACGUG